UACGAAGGGGGCUAGCGUUGCUCGGAUUUACUGGGCGUAAAGGGCUCGUAGGCGGCCAACUAAGUCGGAUGUGAAAUCCCCAGGCUCAACUUGGGAACUGCAUCCGAUACUGGAUGGCUUGAAUUCGGGAGAGGGAUGCAGAAUUCCAGGUGUAGCGGUGAAAUGCGUAGAUAUCUGGAGGAAUACCGGUGGCGAAGGCGGCAUCCUGGACCGACAUUGACGCUGAGGAGCGAAAGCUAGGGGAGCAAACGGG
This 253-nucleotide ribosomal RNA is filed under the name uncultured bacterium. RNAcentral's name for it is "partial 16S ribosomal RNA". It matches the Rfam family "Bacterial small subunit ribosomal RNA", at positions 524 to 776 of the family's 1533-position model. The record is from RNAcentral.